Molecule: RNA transcript, 2178 nt
Organism: Hibiscus syriacus
Lineage: Eukaryota; Viridiplantae; Streptophyta; Magnoliopsida; Malvales; Malvaceae
Gene name: calcium-dependent protein kinase 26
Exons: 8
Source: RefSeq, a predicted model, not a curated record
AUGGGCAAUACGUGCCGUGGAUCUUUCAAGGGGAAGCUUUAUUCUUCGAACCGCACCGCCGCCAAGACUUCUUCCGGCCGAUCGAAUUCCACCGAUUAUUCCCCUUCGACUGUAAACUCUCAACAGCUUAUUGCCCAAGAAUUCUCCAAAGAAACCACCAAAAAGGACCCCAAUUUGCCUCUCAUUAGCCCCACCAACAAGAAAGACAACAGCAACAUGAGACGAGGUAUCGAUCAACAGGCUUACUAUGUUUUAGGUCACAAGACUCCCAACAUCCGCGACCUUUACACUUUGGGUCGUAAGCUAGGACAAGGACAGUUUGGGACUACUUACCUUUGUACCGAGAUCACCACGGGCGUCGAGUAUGCCUGUAAGUCGAUAUCCAAAAGGAAGUUGAUCUCCAAAGAGGAUGUCGAGGAUGUUCGGAGGGAGAUUCAGAUAAUGCACCAUUUGGCUGGUCAUAAGAACAUUGUGACGAUUAAAGGUGCAUACGAGGAUACUUUGUAUGUGCAUAUCGUUAUGGAGCUUUGCUCUGGAGGUGAAUUGUUCGACCGUAUUAUCCAGAGAGGGCAUUACUCUGAGAGGAAGGCGGCUGAAUUGACUAAGAUCAUUGUUGGGGUUGUCGAGGCUUGUCAUUCGCUCGGGGUUAUGCAUAGAGAUUUGAAGCCUGAGAAUUUCUUGUUGGUUAACAAAGAUGAUGAUUUCUCUCUCAAGGCCAUUGAUUUUGGACUCUCUGUCUUCUUUAAACCAGACCAAGUUUUUACCGAUGUGGUUGGAAGCCCAUAUUAUGUUGCUCCUGAAGUACUCCUCAAGCAUUAUGGACCAGAAGCCGACGUAUGGACUGCAGGAGUUAUACUCUAUAUAUUGCUAAGUGGAGUGCCUCCAUUUUGGGCAGAAACACAGCAAGGGAUAUUUGAUGCAGUGUUAAAAGGACAUAUUGACUUCGAUUCAGACCCAUGGCCCUUGAUAUCUGAUAGUGCAAAGAACUUAAUUCGAAAGAUGUUAUGCUCUCAACCUUCAGAGCGGCUGACUGCUCACGAAGUAUUAUGUCAUCCUUGGAUUUGUGAAAAUGGGGUUGCUCCUGACAGGGCACUGGAUCCAGCUGUACUUUCUCGCCUCAAACAAUUCUCGGCAAUGAAUAAACUAAAGAAGAUGGCUUUACGGGUGAUAGCUGAAAGUCUCUCCGAGGAAGAGAUUGCUGGUCUGAGAGAAAUGUUUACGUCUAUGGAUACUGAUAACAGUGGUGCAAUCACAUUUGAUGAACUCAAAGCUGGAUUACGAAGAUAUGGCUCUACCUUGAAAGAUACAGAGAUAAGGGACCUUAUGGAUGCAGCUGAUGUUGACAAUAGUGGGACCAUUGAUUAUGGAGAAUUUAUAGCUGCAACAGUUCACCUUAACAAACUAGAGCGUGAGGAGCAUCUCGUUGCAGCAUUCCGAUACUUUGAUAAGGAUGGAAGUGGCUAUAUUACUGUCGAUGAGCUUCAGCAAGCUUGUACUGAGCACAACAUGACAGAUGUUUUGCUUGAGGAUAUAAUUAGAGAAGUUGAUCAAGAUAAUGAUGGAAGAAUUGAUUAUGGUGAAUUUGUUGCAAUGAUGCAAAAAGGCAAUGCAGGAAUUGGUCGACGAACCAUGCGAAACAGUGUGAAUAUAAGCAUGAGAGAUGCCCCCGGUGCUCUAUGAUUUCCAGUCACGCCCAUCAUGUAUAGGUAUCUUCUGUCUAGCUUCCUAGAUCUGGAUAACCCUUGCGCCGGAAUAACAAUAAUUGAAAAACUCCGAUAUUGAUGUAUUGGUGUUUGCAUUUUCAUUAAAAGGGAUCGGAAGAGACUUCUGCACCCAUUUUUGUUUAGUCUUCCUCGAAUUAUAUGGUACUGACAUCUACUUAUACGCAGAUUGUACAGCCAACCCAGACGAUGAAGAUCAGCAACAAAGCAUUCGGGAAACGGCUCUGGUUCCGCGAAUGCUUCAGGACUUUGCCGGCAAAGAAAACGGUUGAUGGCUAUUGGUUUAUGAAUGGCAUAGUUUUGUAAACUUGAGGAGUGUUUAAGUGUUAAAGUUAUUCAAAUUACGAUGUCAUUAGUCAUGCCUUUAUUUGAUUUUUUUUGAAGGAUUUGCAGAUAAUAGUGUCUUUAAAUUGAUAGAUAUGUUGAUUUCGUCCUUCAUAAUUAUAUAUUUCUAGCA